Molecule: ribosomal RNA, 253 nt
Filed under: uncultured bacterium
Lineage: Bacteria
Description: partial 16S ribosomal RNA
Rfam family: Bacterial small subunit ribosomal RNA
Source: RNAcentral
UACGGAGGGUGCGAGCGUUGUCCGGAAUCACUGGGCGUAAAGGGCGCGUAGGCGGCUCGAUAAGGCUGUGGUGAAAGCCCGGGGCUCAACCCCGGGUCGGCCGUGGCGACUGUUGGGCUGGAGCACUGUAGAGGCGGGCGGAAUUCCGGGUGUAGCGGUGGAAUGCGUAGAGAUCCGGAAGAACACCAGUGGCGAAGGCUGCCCGCUGGGCAGUGGCUGACGCUGAGGCGCGACAGCGUGGGGAGCAAACAGG